Molecule: ribosomal RNA, 492 nt
Filed under: uncultured bacterium
Lineage: Bacteria
Description: partial 16S ribosomal RNA
Rfam family: Bacterial small subunit ribosomal RNA
Source: RNAcentral
AGUGAACGCUGGCGGUAGGCCUAACACAUGCAAGUCGAACGGCAGCACAGUAAGAGCUUGCUCUUACGGGUGGCGAGUGGCGGACGGGUGAGGAAUACAUCGGAAUCUACUUUUUCGUGGGGGAUAACGUAGGGAAACUUACGCUAAUACCGCAUACGACCUACGGGUGAAAGCAGGGGAUCUUCGGACCUUGCGCGAUUGAAUGAGCCGAUGUCGGAUUAGCUAGUUGGCGGGGUAAAGGCCCACCAAGGCGACGAUCCGUAGCUGGUCUGAGAGGAUGAUCAGCCACACUGGAGCUGGAACGCGGUCCAGACUCCUACGGGAGGCAGCAGUGGGGAAUAUUGGACAAUGGGCGCAAGCCUGAUCCAGCCAUACCGCGUGGGUGAAGAAGGCCUUCGGGUUGUAAAGCCCUUUUGUUGGGAAAGAAAAGCAGCAGGUUAAUACCCCGCUGUUCUGACGGUACCCAAAGAAUAAGCACCGGCUAACUUCGUG